UACAGAGGUCUCAAGCGUUGUUCGGAUUCAUUGGGCGUAAAGGGUGCGUAGGCGGCGCGGUAAGUCGGGUGUGAAAUCUCGGAGCUUAACUCCGAAACUGCAUUCGAUACUGCCGUGCUUGAGGACUGGAGAGGAGACUGGAAUUUACGGUGUAGCGGUGAAAUGCGUAGAGCUCGGGAAGAACAUCGGUGGCGAAAGCGCUCUGCUGGACUGCAACUGACACUCAGGGACGAAAGCUAGGGGAGCGAAUGGG
Molecule: ribosomal RNA, 253 nt
Filed under: uncultured bacterium
Lineage: Bacteria
Description: partial 16S ribosomal RNA
Rfam family: Bacterial small subunit ribosomal RNA
Source: RNAcentral